AUUGAACGCUGGCGGCAUGCCUAACACAUGCAAGUCGAACGGUAAAAGGCAGCUGGGUGCUGGCGAGUGGGGAAGGGGGGAGUAAUACACCUGAAAGUGCGCGAGCGAGGGGGGUAACAAGGCGAAAAAUGUGCGCAAAUCGCAUACGAGCUACGAGGGAGAGCGGGGGAGAGCAUGGGCCUGCACGGACGGAGAGGACGCGAUGUCGGAUUAGAUAGUUGGGGGGGUAAAGGCAUACCAAGGCGACGAUCUGUAGCUGGUCUGAGAGGAUGAUCAGCCACACUGGAACUGAGACACGGCCCAGACUCCUACGGGAGGCAGCAGUGGGGAAUUUUGGACAAUGGGCGCAAGCCUGAUCCAGCCAUGCCGCGUGCAUGAUGAAGGUCUUCGGGUUGUAAACCGCUUUUGUACGGAACGAAAAGCCUUCUUUUAAUACCGUGCGGUCUUGACGUUACCGUAAGAAUAAGCACCGGCUAACUACGUG
Molecule: ribosomal RNA, 484 nt
Filed under: uncultured bacterium
Lineage: Bacteria
Description: partial 16S ribosomal RNA
Rfam family: Bacterial small subunit ribosomal RNA
Source: RNAcentral